This 24-nucleotide non-coding RNA is filed under the name Arabidopsis thaliana (thale cress). Lineage: Eukaryota; Viridiplantae; Streptophyta; Magnoliopsida; Brassicales; Brassicaceae. The record is from RNAcentral.
AGUCCUACACUCGACUAAAGAUGC